ACUUCUGCGUCUCGUACCCGCAAACUGUGUGCCGCCCACAUUUCGCAGCAGCGGACGCGGAAGUGGGAGCAACGUGCAGACUGAGACUCACAGGUUUUCCCUGCAUGCCUGGGAUGCGGCGGUAACACGACCGACCGGGCUUCCGGAGGGCUGGGUUCUGUUUGGCGAGCUCUCCAGACACGGGUGCUCGCCAGGAAGCUCCUUCUGGCUCAGCUUUCCUGUAAACAGACAAGAGGGAGGAAAUCAACAGGCUCAGGGAGGUAAAAUGGGGGUAAUGACAUACAUACGUCUCGGGGACGUGUGGCUGUGCCUCUGUGUCAUUAGCACUGCAGCAGAAGCUUCCUCUGACCAAGGACAAAAAUCCAUGUGGCGGAUCCAGGGGGCCGAGGCCUCAGACGCUGCUGACCCCCAGAAGACCCCGGAGAGACCUCCUCCUGACUGGGGCGGCUGGAGAGGUGGCAGUGGCCUGGGGUGGGCAGCCCCCAGGAGCAUCCUCCAGGCCUCAGGCCUGCUGGUCCCAGCUGGGUGUUCCCUUUACACCUAAUUAGAUUUCGUUGUAAAGAGAUAAAGGCUGUUACUUGGUAUCAGCACAUCUUCCUCUGCAGGAAUGAGUUCCUGAGAGAGGAGACACAGGCAGGGAGAUGAGGGAAAGAGCCGGCAUGGGUAGACUCCGGAAUAAGGCCCUGACAGGCUCAAGUUGAUUCUGCAGCCCGGUAAAAUUGAGUGCAGAGGGAAUUGGGUUUGUGCCCUGUUAAAUGUAGCUGCCUCUUGCUGUCUAUACCAGGAGCUGUUAAAAUGGUAAUCGUUAGAGAUGUAUGGAAAUUGUGUGCGAACAGACCGGUGAACCAUCCUGGGGCGCAGGCUUCCUCUGCGCACGCAAAACGGCAUCGUUGUUCCUAAUAACAUCAUAAACACCUUGCGUUUGUAAUGCCCCAUCUGCCUCUCGUUGUGUCUGACGGAUGUAGGAGUAAGGAGUUCUGAGUCUUCCCGAGAAACAGCCCUGUGCCCACUGUCUCCAAAGCAGUCUCGAGAGGCCGACCCCACUCACGCUUGGGAAGCGCCCCAGUCCCGCAGGGCUGGGCUGUGCCUCAAGCCACCGCCACCAUGAUCCCACACGUCAAAGGACAGCGCGAGGGACGCAGAAGACCCGCCGGGAGGCGGCCGCCUCGGCCCCGCGGUCACAGGCUGCAAGGACUCCGACCACCCAGCUGGUGUGGGUGUCCAGGUGCCACUGUGUCCGGCCCCCUCCUUCCUUCCGGUUCCUCCCCGGGACGUCAUGGGAACAGAAACACGCAGGGUAGGCCUGUGGAUUAAGUUUCCUCCAAUAUGCUCAGAAUUUCGAACCCCCGUCUGCAUCCCGUAGGACACGGAGACUGAACCCAAUAGAUACGUGUGCAGGCGCCUUGGGUGGCUCGGUUGGUUGAGCGUCCUACUCUUGAUUUAGGCUCAGGUCGUGUCCCAGGGUCGUGGGUUCGAGCUCUGCAUCAGGCUCUGUGCUGACAGCAGAGAUUUUCUCUCUCUCUCUCUCCUUCUCCCUCUCUCUUUCUUUCUCUCAAGAUUAAAAAAUGAAUGCAUGUGGAACACCCGAUGUCAGCUGAGCCCCAGAAGUUGGUUUCUGCUGGGCUGACUGGAUUCAGCCUCUGUCUCCCUGUUCAUUCAACAGACAUUUACUGAGCGUCUGCUGACCCUGGUCGGGUGCAGCCGCGGGGGGACUGGGCACGCACGGAGAACCGCCUGCCAUCCCGGCACAGGGCAGGGAGGCAGAAGGCAGUGCGGGUGCCGACGGAUGCCAUGGGGACCGAUACGCAGGGGAAGGAAGGCGGUGAUGGCCCGGAGGGGGAGAGGGAGCCAGCUACUCGCACAUCUCGAGGGAAAAGCAUCCCAGGCAGAGGGAACAGCCAGUGCCAAGGCCCUGAGACAGAAGCACUUGGAAGGUCGAAAAACCAGAAGGCAUGGCGUGGCUGGAGGAGAAGGGGCACCGGGGGGCAAGCAAGCCAGAGACGGCGGCAGGAAGGACUUUGCUGGGGUGUGAACGGGCACUGGGCUGUGUGAGAAGUGAGUAGUUGUGUCUGGAAGCUGUCCAUUGCUGUGUAGCAAGCGACCCCAGACCAGCAGCUCCCGCGCCUGUAUCUGCUGGGACUACCGGGUCCUCUGGCUCAGGGUCCCUCACGGGCCGCAGCUGGCGUCGGCGGGGCCGAGGCCCGUCUGAAGACUCCACCGGGGAGGGACCCCCAUGCGAGCUUACGCACAGGCCUCGAAGCAGGAUUCAGCCGGACACCAUCCUCGGUCCCCUGUCUGAGGGCCUCUUCCGGGGGCCUCUGUCAAGGCGGCGGCUGCUGGCUCCAUCAGACGGAGGAAGCAGAGCAGGAGGGACAGACAGACAGGAGCCAGAGUCUUUAUACCCUAACGUGACUCCCAUGGCGUUUGCCUUCUGGUCAUCGGAGGCGAGUCCCAGCCCCACUCAGGGACCAGCACCAGCCAGGCCCAGGCAGCAGGAGCAUGGGGGCCGGUGGGUGUCCUGGGAAGAGGCUGGAUUUGCACACUUUUUUUUUUUAAAUAUGUAUUCAUUUUUUGAGAGAGAGAGAGACAGAGUGUGAGCGGGGGAGCAGCAGAGAGAGGGAGACACAGAAUCCGAAGCAGCUCUAGGCUCCGAGGUGUGGGCACAGAGCCAAACGCGGGGCUGGGACUCACGGACUGUGAGAUCACGACCUGAGCUGAAGUCAGACGCUCAACCGACUAAGCCACGCAGGCGCCCCUGCCCCCUUUUUUUCUUUUUAAUGUUUAUUUAUUUUUGACAGAGACGGAGAGAGAAUCCCAAGCAGACUGUGCUGACAGUGCAGGGCCUGGUGUGGGGCUCAAACCCACGCACGAACUGAGAGAUCAUGACCUGAGCCCAAACCAAGAGUGUGGAUGCUUAACCGACUGAACCACCCAGGUGCCCCUGGAUUUGCACCCUUUUUGAAAAUGCUGGAAAAAACAGGAUCUUUGGGCCAAGGGCCCAAGAGAGACGCCUUGGUUUUCGGCCUAGUGAUGGGGCCGUGCCGACCUCAGAUGGGGCUGACCAGCCCCACCCACAUGGGGCCCCUCAGCAGAAGAGGGAGGUGAGGAGGGAGGGGGUAAAAACCCAAGACCCAGAGCCCCCAGCGCAGACACCUCAGGGCAGACGCCCACCCAACGCCUGUUAACUGCAAGCCGUCCCUGACCUGUCCCUGACCUCCAGGCCACAGUCCCUGCAACUAAACUAGCCAAUCGCUGCAUGAUUGCAGCCGCUUUGCCUCGGAGGCGCCCGGGUCCCUGAACCCGCCAACCCUCCCAUUUAAUCCUCUUUAAGACUGGAGGCAGUGGCAGGGCCAGUAAUCAGGUUAGGGACAAUAUCCCACUGCUCAGGGCAAUGGUGGGGGUGGGGUGCCAGAGACUAGGUCCCUGCCCUCUGUUCACCCGGACACGGCGGCUAUCCUGCUCUGCCCGUGACCGUGACCGUGACCGUGACCGAGAGGGGAUCUGGGCCGACAACUGGCUUCCUUCCAUACCUUCCUUGCAAAAUAGUCCCGGACUGAGCGCCAAGUAGAGUCACAAACACCUCGAAGACGAGAUUGCAGGGAAACUGAGGCACCACAGCACCCUCUCUGUUCUCCGGAGGCCCAGAAAAGCAGAAGCAGCCCUCGGCCGGAGCAGCAGUCCCUGAGGGCCGUCACCCAGGAGGAAAGCCUUUUGUCCUUGGCGCCUGUGUGCCCGCUGGCUCCUCCCCACCUCCCUGUUCUGCACGCCUGCUCUCCCUCACUGGUCACCUCCUUCCUGGACCGCCCGCCCAAAGCCUCCCGGUGACGUCUCAGGGCACUUGCCCCCCAGACUGACUUGUAAUGAGCCUCCCCCUCCCCAGAGUGGAAGUCCCGGGGGGAGACUGGCCUGUGUGCCAGUCACGUCCCGACUCCCAGGAUGGGAGUGAAUGGGGGCAUGGGGGCAUGUGGGGUCAUGACAGGAGGAGGUCGAGGAGGUCGAGCGUGGCAGGAAACUCCCGCUGGGCAAGGUUGGAAACGCAUCCUGAAGCCAUUAGCACCUGUUCAUGGACGCGUGCCCAGCCGCCCACCCUGCCCCGCCCGGCCUGGCCCCUCCGUCUGUCCUGUUGGCAAGCGGCUGCUGACCUCUGCACCCUGCGUGAAGAGUCGGCCCAUCCACCGCCCGUCAGGAAGGGAAAGGCGGCCUGGAGAGGCGGGGAGCCCCCGAGCUGUGGCAGCAGGGACGUAAGCCCUUCCUCUGUGGGGCUUCUUCCCUGUUUGGGGGUCUGGGUGCCUACAGAGGCUCCCGAAUUCUUCCCUACAGCUCCUGGGUGACAGUGCCCAGCACAGGAGGAAACGGAAAGUGAAGGAGCCUGGGGGGUCCUGAGACCCCCAGAGCAGGGUUUGUCCCGUCCACACCCUGGGCCUGGAGAAGCCACAGGCGUGCUAUGGACCGGGGACCCAGAAUCCCCCUGUGCUGGGGCGGCGACCACCAGGUGGCAGUGUGGGACUGUCCUGCCCACCCCCGCCUCUGAGCCCUGGCUCUGGGCUGGAUGCCAAGGGUUUGGAGGGUCCUCCGCGCUCCGUGUGGGCGCUUGGUUAGAGACCUCCCACACCAGACUUCGGGCAGCAGCGGCCUGAGACAAGCCAGGCUGACGUCCACGUACUCCUGGGCCUGGCACCCAGCACACCUGCUCACACCUGGGCACACCUGGAACGACGGCCAGUGUCCACCUGCUUUUCUCUCUGCG
This is a long non-coding RNA of Panthera uncia (snow leopard), 4747 nucleotides long. RefSeq lists it as uncharacterized. The transcript has 5 exons. Lineage: Eukaryota; Metazoa; Chordata; Mammalia; Carnivora; Felidae. The record is from RefSeq and is a predicted model, not a curated record.